Molecule: ribosomal RNA, 1546 nt
Filed under: Escherichia coli
Lineage: Bacteria; Pseudomonadati; Pseudomonadota; Gammaproteobacteria; Enterobacterales; Enterobacteriaceae
Description: partial 23S ribosomal RNA
Rfam family: Bacterial large subunit ribosomal RNA
Source: RNAcentral
CAUAGGUUAAUGAGGCGAACCGGGGGAACUGAAACAUCUAAGUACCCCGAGGAAAAGAAAUCAACCGAGAUUCCCCCAGUAGCGGCGAGCGAACGGGGAGCAGCCCAGAGCCUGAAUCAGUGUGUGUGUUAGUGGAAGCGUCUGGAAAGGCGCGCGAUACAGGGUGACAGCCCCGUACACAAAAAUGCACAUGCUGUGAGCUCGAUGAGUAGGGCGGGACACGUGGUAUCCUGUCUGAAUAUGGGGGGACCAUCCUCCAAGGCUAAAUACUCCUGACUGACCGAUAGUGAACCAGUACCGUGAGGGAAAGGCGAAAAGAACCCCGGCGAGGGGAGUGAAAAAGAACCUGAAACCGUGUACGUACAAGCAGUGGGAGCACGCUUAGGCGUGUGACUGCGUACCUUUUGUAUAAUGGGUCAGCGACUUAUAUUCUGUAGCAAGGUUAACCGAAUAGGGGAGCCGAAGGGAAACCGAGUCUUAACUGGGCGUUAAGUUGCAGGGUAUAGACCCGAAACCCGGUGAUCUAGCCAUGGGCAGGUUGAAGGUUGGGUAACACUAACUGGAGGACCGAACCGACUAAUGUUGAAAAAUUAGCGGAUGACUUGUGGCUGGGGGUGAAAGGCCAAUCAAACCGGGAGAUAGCUGGUUCUCCCCGAAAGCUAUUUAGGUAGCGCCUCGUGAAUUCAUCUCCGGGGGUAGAGCACUGUUUCGGCAAGGGGGUCAUCCCGACUUACCAACCCGAUGCAAACUGCGAAUACCGGAGAAUGUUAUCACGGGAGACACACGGCGGGUGCUAACGUCCGUCGUGAAGAGGGAAACAACCCAGACCGCCAGCUAAGGUCCCAAAGUCAUGGUUAAGUGGGAAACGAUGUGGGAAGGCCCAGACAGCCAGGAUGUUGGCUUAGAAGCAGCCAUCAUUUAAAGAAAGCGUAAUAGCUCACUGGUCGAGUCGGCCUGCGCGGAAGAUGUAACGGGGCUAAACCAUGCACCGAAGCUGCGGCAGCGACGCUUAUGCGUUGUUGGGUAGGGGAGCGUUCUGUAAGCCUGUGAAGGUGUGCUGUGAGGCAUGCUGGAGGUAUCAGAAGUGCGAAUGCUGACAUAAGUAACGAUAAAGCGGGUGAAAAGCCCGCUCGCCGGAAGACCAAGGGUUCCUGUCCAACGUUAAUCGGGGCAGGGUGAGUCGACCCCUAAGGCGAGGCCGAAAGGCGUAGUCGAUGGGAAACAGGUUAAUAUUCCUGUACUUGGUGUUACUGCGAAGGGGGGACGGAGAAGGCUAUGUUGGCCGGGCGACGGUUGUCCCGGUUUAAGCGUGUAGGCUGGUUUUCCAGGCAAAUCCGGAAAAUCAAGGCUGAGGCGUGAUGACGAGGCACUACGGUGCUGAAGCAACAAAUGCCCUGCUUCCAGGAAAAGCCUCUAAGCAUCAGGUAACAUCAAAUCGUACCCCAAACCGACACAGGUGGUCAGGUAGAGAAUACCAAGGCGCUUGAGAGAACUCGGGUGAAGGAACUAGGCAAAAUGGUGCCGUAACUUCGGGAGAAGGCACGCU